RNAcentral lists this small RNA (4083 nucleotides) under Vigna angularis var. angularis. RNAcentral's name for it is "Non-protein coding transcript". The record is from RNAcentral. Lineage: Eukaryota; Viridiplantae; Streptophyta; Magnoliopsida; Fabales; Fabaceae.
AUCUUAUGAUUUUAAUGAGAUCAUAUUACGUUAAUUCUACAAUCUUAAUAAAAUCAAUGGUGAAAAAUAUUCUUUUGAUUUAGAAUGCGUUAUAUAUUACAUAUAUUACAAAAUUUGGUGAACUCUCUCAAAUGCUCUGUCAAAUUGAUCUUUCAAACCAUCUUCAAGUGAGAUCUUUAACUCCUGCAAGAACACCAACCACAUAUCCAGUAACAAAUAUUGAUCCUGUGAUGCCAUCUUUAAGAAGAUCCAAACACUACAAGGCCUACCAAAUUUAUUACUUCCAUUAUCAUCUUCAACAAUAAGGCCCUUAGAGAAACCAACACUGCAUCAAAAGCCUGAUGGCGAAGAUUUGACCAAGAAAAACAAAAGCAUCUAAAAGGUUUACUAUAACAUAAUAUUGGAUUUUUCAAGAAUGUAGAAGUUACAAUUCUAUUAAUAUGAGAAAUACACUACUGCUUUGGCCAUUUGGUUACAAAAUAUGUUACCAACAAGAAGUUCAUGGAUUAGUUGUUAAGUACAUCUUCUUGGAAUAUUUGCAAGGAAUAAUUAAAAAGGAAAACAAUGAAAAAUCAAAUACAUACUAAACUUUUGAUUAAUCACUCUAUAGUAAAGAUUUUGAAGCAAUUCCACCUUACAUGUAAUUCCUGUGAAAAUCAGUGUUUACUCACUAAUUCUGUUCAGUUUAGACCUUGAGUUUGAGACUGUAAUAGACCUUCAGUUAGUCCUCAAUCAAUUUUUUAACAGAAAAAUCUGUAAACAAGGAAAACCAUGGUAAAAAUAGAGUGAAAUAUAUGUGAUUAUUAAUAGAAGUAAAAGAAAAAAUUGAAUCAUCUUCUCAUCAAACAAGUCCAUAUUAUUUGAAGUGAUGGAAAUACGAUAAGUUUCACCAUGACAUGCAAAAGGAAAGGAUAAAGGGAAGAUGUCGACACAAUAUAUUUUUAAGGACAAUAUAAGGAUUGUUGAACUCUUAAGCUUCUGUAACUCAUCUCUUGAGGUACACAUUAGAGGAAUGCAAACAUAAACAAUUCUAAACAUGAAGAUGCAUAACUUAGCCAGUAUUAUAUGCAACCUGUGUCAUUCAUGUAAAUUUUUGGUUUCCAUCCUGAAAAAACUGGUACUCAUUUCCUGAAGUGUUUUUGGUAUCAUUAUCUAAUCAAAACUGAAGUUUCACCUCAGCAAUCUGCAUAAUAAACAUUUGCAUCGAAUGAAAUUCCAAUUUGAUUGAAGAAUAAUACAAAAAGAACUUAAGGAAACUAAUUCCAAUUCUGUGCAAACGAGGAAUUGCAAAAUUCUUUUCUCUACUGUGAUAAUGUAAAAACCUGGUAAAUAUUCAAAAGAUAUUGAUCCAAACAACUUUGUACUGUUCAAAAUAUCUAUCAACUUAGAAAGUCCAAGUACUAGAGCUUUACAUUAUAUAGAGUAAAGGUGUACUAUAUAUACAAUAUAAACAUAACUCCAACACUUAACCCCAACAUUUAAAAUCUAAAACCAAAACUCACUCUAUAUACAAGGAGAAUUCGCUUCACAACUCAAUUUUUUUGGCUACUAGUGCCCUUACACUAUUUAGUCUUCCUUAAGCUUAUAGACAUUGUCAAUGUAAUCUUCUGUCUCCCACAGGAAAGAUCCAAAAGCAACAGCUUCCAAUACUAGUCUCUUCAAGCUAGAAAAUGAAGUCAAAAUAACAUCAUCAUUCUCAAACGAACCCGAAUCCUUGUUGUUAAAGAGUGCACAACUAUAACUACCCACCAAAUUCACAGCCUCCUUAGAUCUCAAUCUGGCACAUCUUUGCAAUGAUCCAGGAUGAAAGCUCAUAACAUAACAUUUUAAGUCCUCAACUUCCUCUUCUGGCCUGAUUAACCCUUGCCCUAAGGAUGGCAUGUUACUCAAGUGGCCAAAGAUGGCCUCUUUGAAUCCGUAAGAACACAUAAGGGAAGUCCUAUGACCAAGGUGAAUAUCAUGGUCAGCCAACGAUAGAUUUCGUUCUAGGUGGUACCUCAAUGAAACUGACUUCAAAAAGUAACCAUAUAAUAUGGAGGCAACAUAAACCCGGGCAAGUAAGAAUUGUCUAACUUUGGUUGUCGCCCAACACUCAGUUACACUAGAUUUUGCUUUCAAGCCAGUUACAGUAGUUACGUGUUCCCUUAUCAUAUCCAAAACUUCCAAGCUAUGAAUAGACUCUAGUUCCCAGUCCUUAGAAGGCAAUAUCUCUAGCCUGCCAUUGUAAAGGCAACUAGAAAGUUUUGGUACCAAAGGGACCCUGAUCUCAGAAAACUUGUAAAAAAUCAGCAAGUACAUAACAUCUUCUACAGCAACUUGACAUUGAUUCUCUUUUAGUUGUGCAAUCCUCCUGGCAUUCAGAAAAGGUUCAAGUCAACAUCUUUUCAAUGGAUAUCUACAAGUUUGUUAUGCAAUUACUGAGGAAUUUAAGACUUAGGUUUAACUGUUCUGUUUAUUUCAUUCCAGGGCAUGACUUGAUGCCAGGCAAUUCCUGGAUUCAUUUAAUCAUGCAGAUACUGCUUCAUAUCUGAAAAGACCAUCAAUAUUUAACUCCAAUUAAAACAAUGUAAAAGACAUUACAGGACAAUUCAGGUCAAAGUGGUGAAAGGAAAUGGCCGUCAGCAAAAGUUCAAGUAUCUCAAAUCUCACAAAAGCUAGUACAUUGUAUUAGAAGGUUUCAGAGGGAACCAAAAGUUGUCAGCUAUCCUCUGCUCCCAUUAAGAAGUGAGAAGUUUUAUUGUCAACAUAUAAGAAGAGACAACAACAAAUGGUGAUUGUUCAUGCUCUAAGUUUUAAGGUACAAUCCAGAGAAGAAGAUUUAAAUUCUCCACCUUAAAAUCAUGUAACCAUUGAUUUGUCAGCCUACGUGUACCAGGAAAAUGGCCACUAAUUUUAGGGACUGCAAAACAAUCAAGAAGGAUCCGAGAAAGUUUGGUUUAGCUUUAGACCAGGAAUGAUGACCAAACCGUGCAAGUUGUGGUAUGAUACACUCCAUAGUUUUCACCUCUCCAAACGAUCAUGAAUCCACAUCUUACUGAUCUUACAUUCCUUAGGCUUUGUCUUACUCCUACUUGAUCAAAAGAAACUUGAUACCAAAGCUUGUCCACUCUAGAAUGAAGUUCAAAUUUAGUACUUUGCUUGAUUCAUCAACUAUCAUUAUAUCAUUUGUAAAAUUAACGCAAUGACACAACGGCUCUCUAUUCUUGGAUGUUCCGUUUAAGAAUGUCCAGAGCCAAGGCUUCUUUAGUAUUCUAUUUAUGAAUGUUUUAAGAUUUUGCUUCUCAAGUAAGCUCCUUCCUGAUUCUUUCUUUUCCAACCAAUCUUUCCUGUUUUCUCUGCUUCUUAAAACAUCUUAUAUCCCCUUCAGUUACAGUUUCCCUUACGCUCCAAAAAAAGUAUCUUAUCUACAAAAGUAAAACUUGUAAACCACAAAAAAACCAAAUGAAGCUUGUUAAGGUACACAGCAUGGUAAGGUCUCGCUCCUUACACUCACUGUACAAACACACAAACAAACCUCUGACCUCUGCAAGUCUAGAAAAUUGAGUUCAAAGUUCUUUCCCUUUACGAUAAAAAAAAAAAAACAAGAUUAACCCACCCUAAUAAAUCAGGAAAACCACAAUAUGUUUAUCGCACUUCCGCAUAUAGAUACAUCUAUUAACAAAACCCCAGAUGCAAGGUUUACACAUUGAAUCACCAAAAUUUCCGCAUUGAAGUCACACAUAUCAUAAAGUAACAUGUUAAGGUUGUAAAGAGUGGUCCAGAACAGCAAUUAUGGAGGCAAAACAAGGAUUUUUGCAGUUUCCGCCACAUCGGCCACAUUUAUCAACAAUUUCUCCCAAUAUCUCAAGUAUGGCGUCAAGGUUUUUGAGCCCCACAUCAGCCACUUUUAUCAGCACUUUCUCACAAAAUCAAGGAUGAAACCGCCGCAACCACAAUUUAAAACCUUAGCACAGAUCAGAUUUUCAAGUAAACUCAUGAUAGAAUAGAAUCCUUAAAUACAGUUUGACAAAUAUUUCAACACGCCAAAAUCGUCCCAAAAAGCUACAUGAAAUUCAAACUUCAUAAAUCACAACAAAACAACUU